AAACGGCCGCGUUAGCGUGAGCGUGCUAAGGUAGCGUAAUAAAUAGCCCCUUAAUUGGGGGCCAGUGAAUGGCAAGACUAGGAACACUUGUACCUUUUAUAGCUAAAAAACUUUUCAUCUAAGUGAAAAGACUUAGAUAACUAGGGUAGACGAAAAGACCCCGCGGAACUUUACCUUAUCCAACUCAACGCCCAGCAAGCACAAUAAAUAAAAGGUUUGAUUGGGGCAAUCUUGGAACCAACAAACUUCCAACUUUAUUAUAAAACCAUAUAAAAUUUAAUAAAAAUAAAAAAGAAGUUACCCCGGGGAUAACAGCGUAAUCCAACUUAAGAGUACACAUCGAAAGUUGGGUUUGCGACCUCGAUGUUGGCUUAAG
RNAcentral lists this ribosomal RNA (376 nucleotides) under Cyclonaias infucata. RNAcentral's name for it is "partial 16S ribosomal RNA". It matches the Rfam family "Bacterial large subunit ribosomal RNA", at positions 1925 to 2541 of the family's 2925-position model. The record is from RNAcentral. Lineage: Eukaryota; Metazoa; Mollusca; Bivalvia; Unionida; Unionidae.